CCUACGGGAGGCUGCAGUGGGGAAUAUUGCACAAUGGGGGAAACCCUGAUGCAGCGACGCCGCGUGAGUGAAGAAGUAUUUCGGUACGUAAAGCUCUAUCAGCAGGGAAGAAAAUGACGGUACCUGACUAAGGAGCCCCGGCUAACUACGUGCCAGCAGCCGCGGUAAUACGUAGGGGGCAAGCGUUAUCCGGAUUUACUGGGUGUAAAGGGAGCGUAGACGGCAGCGCAAGUCUGGAGUGAAAUCCCAUGGCUUAACCAUGGAACUGCUUUGGAAACUGUGCAGCUAGAGUGCAGGAGAGGUAAGCGGAAUUCCUAGUGGAGCGGUGAAAUGCGUAGAUAUUAGGAGGAACACCAGUGGCGAAGGCGGCUUACUGGACUGUAACUGACGUUGAGGCUCGAAAGCGUGGGGAGCAAACAGGAUUAGAUACCCGAGUAGUC
This 440-nucleotide ribosomal RNA is filed under the name uncultured bacterium. RNAcentral's name for it is "partial 16S ribosomal RNA". It matches the Rfam family "Bacterial small subunit ribosomal RNA", at positions 338 to 795 of the family's 1533-position model. The record is from RNAcentral.